GAUGAACGCUAGCGACAGGCUUAACACAUGCAAGUCGAGGGACCGGCGCACGGGUGAGUAACGCGUAUGCAACCUGCCCGAUACCGGGGUAUAGCCCAUGGAAACGUGGAUUAACACCCCAUAGUAUCGGAUGGGCAUGCGUCCUAUUAGUUAGUUGGCGGGGUAACAGCCCACCAAGACGAUGAUAGGUAGGGGUUCUGAGAGGAAGGUCCCCCACAUUGGAACUGAGACACGGUCCAAACUCCUACGGGAGGCAGCAGUGAGGAAUAUUGGUCAAUGGACGUAAGUCUGAACCAGCCAAGUCGCGUGAGGGAAGACUGCCUAUGGGUUGUAAACCUCUUUUAUAAGGGAAGCUGUACCUUAUGAAUAAGCAUCGGCUAACUCCGUGCCAGCAGCCGCGGUAAUACGGAGGAUGCGAGCGUUAUCCGGAUUUAUUGGGUUUAAAGGGUGCGUAGGCGGUUUAUUAAGUUAGUGGUUAAAUAUUUGAGCUAAACUCAAUUGUGCCAUUAAUACUGGUAAACUGGAGUACAGACGAGGUAGGCGGAAUAAGUUAAGUAGCGGUGAAAUGCAUAGAUAUAACUUAGAACUCCGAUAGCGAAGGCAGCUUACCAGACUGUAACUGACGCUGAUGCACGAGAGCGUGGGUAGCGAACAGGAUUAGAUACCCUGGUAGUCCACGCCGUAAACGAUGCUCACUGGUUCUGUGCACGGGAUUAAGCGAAAGUAUUAAGUGAGCCACCUGGGGAGUACGUCGGCAACGAUGCAACUCAAAGGAAUUGA
Molecule: ribosomal RNA, 780 nt
Filed under: uncultured bacterium
Lineage: Bacteria
Description: bacterial SSU rRNA
Rfam family: Bacterial small subunit ribosomal RNA
Source: RNAcentral